GAGCGCGGGUGUCGCGUUUGGAGCGCAGGAGCGGAACCAGCAGUCCUCCUCUCCUUGCCUUUUGGGGCCAGUGGGCAUGUCCAGGGAUGGGGUCACGCACAGGUGUCUUACAGAGAAAUGUGCAUCUCGGAGUCUGUCAACAAAAUUUUUAUUUCAAGUCUGUGCAACGUGAGGAUUGUUGAAUUUCUGUCCUUCUGGUAUUUAUGGAGGACCCACAAAAAGAACUACUCUGAGUAAAUAAACAGAGAAGAUUAAAGGCUGUCCUCUAUGGGGGGCACCGUUUAUGAGGCAACAAACCAGGAGAGUUGUCUCUGGGAUUUUGUGAUGCUGCUCCAGCCCUGCAGUGGAAACACAUCUCAUUUACGAGUCAUUUCAGGAAGUUUAGGCUCCUCAGCUUCUGAAUCGUAGCAUCCGGAGGCUCUGAGUCUAUGUGUCUGUUGUGGGAGUGUCCCUGCGAACACACAGAGAAGAAAGUGUACUGGUUUCCUAGGGCUGCUGCAGACUCGGUGGCUUAAACAACAGGAAUGUGCUGUUCUGGAGGCUGCAAGGCCAGGAUCAAGGAAAAUGGUAGGAUUGCAUUUCCCUCUUCACCUGGAGUUUGAUGUGGCUGUAUGACUGGAUUUGGACAAUGAAAUGCGGGCAUAAGUGACACAUGUCACUUCUGGGAUGCAGCUUUCAGAGCCAGUGUGUAAUUCACCAUGUCCUCUUCCCCCUGCCAUGACAACCUGCAAUGCUCCGGCCAGGGUGGCUCCUCUACUAAAUUAAUUAUCUGGUUCUCCUGGAAAGCAAUCUUUCCCCCAGUUCAUGUUCCGUUCUUGACCUAACAUGGCCAUUCUUGGCCUUUUGAAUGGGAUUCGCUUCCAGUGGGGAAUUGAAUUUCCAUAGCAACGCCGCGGCCAUCUUGAAAGGACUCUCCAGCUUCUCAUCUCGAACGCGGGCCGGGGGUUGCUUGCUGAUGCAGAAACUCUGGGGAAAUGACUUGAGCAUGGUCACUGACAAAUGAAAAAUCCGGACCAGGAUUUUGCGGAGCCACUCGACAGAUGAGAAUCUCAUUUCGAGGCUCCUCAGAAGGCGAACUGCACCCCCUCCCUCAAGCCUCUUCUCCAGUCUCAUGGUUUUCAUGACCACUAGGGGAAGACGACGAAUUCCAAGGUAGGGAACCAGUUUUAUCAGCUGGGCAAUGGAAGAGCAUCCCUGCUUUGUAACCAGAGGAGUGCUGCUGUUAGCGCUGGGCUUUAUAGAGAUUGUUCUGAUGGGGGCAGGGGGCGGCCAGUGUGGAUGUGGGUGGCGCAGAGCUGUUGGAGGACCAUGGUGUGGAUAAGUCAUUGGGAUGAGGAGAUGGGAUAUGGUCUGGAUUAAGGCCCGGUGAAGACACACCUGGCAGGUAACUGGAGUGGGGGCAGAGAUGGACCUUCAGAUGCCUAAAGACCAUCUCAUCCUGUCUUCAAGAAAAGCAUCCCCAUUCCCUGUACCUGGCUCCAAAGGGGACCAGCAUCUUCUUGCAUUCUUGGGUACACCUCUGACCCCUGGUCUUUCAAGCCAUACCACAGCAAGGGACAGAACUGCCACCAUUAGAUUCUGACCCCCUUGAUAUGCUGAGACCUGGGGUAGGGAAUGUCUGAGUCCACCCUGGAGUUUCUUGGGGGCUCCACCUCUCUACCAUGUCACCGCUUCUACCGGGCAUCAGGGGGGAUGGACAGCUGGCUCAGGCCUGGGAUCACCUACCACAGCCCCCCUCCCCCACACUGGGCAUCAUCAAAAGAAUCUUUGGUGUCGCCGACCAAGUCAGCAGGGGCUGGGAGGGAGCCUGGAGCUUUAUUAACUAAUCUCUGGUACUUGAGUAAUUUAUUAUGUUUAAGCUGGUGCCAUCAAGUCUCUCAGCAGUGCCCGCGUGCGCUGGGAAAUAAAUUAAAGGCUGUCCAGAGAUACUUGGAUCAUCUGUGUGAUUGCUGGGCUGGUGAGAUGGAGGUUUAAGGCUCUCUCUUCUUGCAAAUUGGAAAUUAGGAAUUAAUAAGACAGCAGGCCAAAGAGCUGCGGUGGUGGUGGUGGUGACUUGGCUGCAGGGCCAGGAACGGGGGAGGGAAGGCCGCUGCCAGCAGGGCAGGGAGGAGCGGGCAAACCCAGCCAGGAGCUCUACGUGGUGGGCAAGCCAAGGGGGGGCUGGGCGAGGGGGCGCUUUCUCGGCCUUUGGUGAAGGUAGCAGGGGUUUUUCUGCCUCUUGAAAGAGGUUAAGUGGGUGAUGGAGAGAACCCUAGCUUGGGAGCCAGAGGACCUGCUUGUGGCCCUGGUCUAGAUGCUGCCUGCCGUGAGACGUUGGCAGGUCCUUUCUGAGCUUCCAUCUCAUUGACAAGAUGAGGAGGGUGGAUUCAGGGUUCACAUUUCCAUCAGGCACAUGGAAAUAUUUUAUUUUGUAUUGUUUUAUUUAAUUUUAUUUAUUUCAUUUUAUGCUAUUCUAUUUUAUUUUUGGCUGUGCCCAUGGGAGUUCCUGGGCCACAGCAGCAACCCAAGUCACAGCAGUGACAACGCUGGAUCCUUAACCUGUUGAGCCACCAGGGAACUCCUAUUUUUAAUUAAAAAAAUUUUUUUAUUGGAGUCUAGUUGACUUACAGUGUUGUGUUAUUUUUAGGUGUACAGCAAAGUGAAUCAGCUAUACAUAUACGUUAUUCAUUCUUUUUCAGAUUCUUUUCCCAUAUAGGCUAUUAGCAAAUAUUGAGUAGAUUUCCCUGUGCUAGACAGUAGGUCCUUGUUAGUUAUCUAUUUUAUAUGAAGUACUGUGUUUAUGUUAAUCCCAACCUGCUAAUUUAUCCUCUCCCCCGCAACAUUUCCCCUUUGGUAACCAUAAGUUUGGUUUUGAAAUCUCUGAGUCUGUUUCUGUUUUGUAAAUAAGUUUUGUAAACAAGAAAAAAAAAAAACUUUUGGGUAGAAGAAAUGUUAUAGGGUGUAGUAUAAAUAUAUUCAUCUUUAUACCAGAGCUGUCAUAAAAUGUAAUUUUUAUUACAGACACUUUUGUGUGUGGAGGCCGUGGCCCAGCCACUGUGGGUCCAGCUGACCCUAAGGCCCUGCCUGCCCUAAUGGCAGUGGAUUUCCAACACACUUGUCAGCUCCUGGCUCCAGGUCUGACUUGCUUCUAGCUCAUGAGCUCUUCAAGAGCAGGGCCUGGAGUUCCCAUCGUGGAGCAGUGGACAUGAACCUGACUAGUGUCCAUGAGUGUGCAAGUUUGAUCCCUGGCCUUGCUCAGUGGGUCAAGGAUCUGUCGUUGACGUGAGCUGUGGUGUCAACGUGGCUCGGAUCUGGCGUUGCUGUGGCUGUGGUGCAGGCCC
Molecule: long non-coding RNA, 3320 nt
Filed under: Sus scrofa (pig)
Lineage: Eukaryota; Metazoa; Chordata; Mammalia; Artiodactyla; Suidae
Description: lncRNA (ENSSSCG00025032955.1)
Source: RNAcentral